RNAcentral lists this ribosomal RNA (422 nucleotides) under Spinomantis peraccae. RNAcentral's name for it is "partial 16S ribosomal RNA". It matches the Rfam family "Bacterial large subunit ribosomal RNA", at positions 2008 to 2597 of the family's 2925-position model. Lineage: Eukaryota; Metazoa; Chordata; Amphibia; Anura; Mantellidae. The record is from RNAcentral.
GGGUCCUACUGUCUCCUCUCUCCAAUCAAUGAAACUGAUCUCUCCGUGAAGAAGCGGGGAUUUAACUAUAAGACGAGAAGACCCCAUGGAGCUUUAAACCCGACUACACCUCCACCUCUUAUACCCACAUAAUCAACGGAGUACUGUACAUCGGUUUUGGGUUGGGGUGACCACGGAGCACAAACUAACCUCCAUGAUGAAUAAGACUAACCCUUUAUCUAAGAGACACACCUCUAAGAAUUAGCACACUAACAUAAAAUGAUCCGAUAUUCGAUCAACGAACCAAGUUACCCUGGGGAUAACAGCGCAAUCCACUUCAAGAGCCCCUAUCCACAAGUGGGUUUACGACCUCGAUGUUGGAUCAGGGUAUCCUAGUGGUGCAGCAGCUACUAAAGGUUCGUUUGUUCAACGAUUAAAACCCU